CAGAUUAUGCCUAGGGCUAAUUAUUAUUUACAUUAAUAAUUUAUUUGUGCGAUUCAAUUUAAUCUGA
This 67-nucleotide transfer RNA is filed under the name Coridius brunneus. Its description in RNAcentral is "tRNA-Val". The record is from RNAcentral. Lineage: Eukaryota; Metazoa; Arthropoda; Insecta; Hemiptera; Dinidoridae. RNAcentral also lists the same sequence under 1 other name.